UACGUAGGGAGCAAGCGUUGUCCGGAAUCAUUGGGCGUAAAGCGCGCGUAGGUGGCUUCGUAAGUCCGUAGUGAAAGUCAAGGGCUCAACCUUUGAAAGCCGAUGGAUACUGCGGAGCUAGAGUACGGAAGAGGGAAGCGGAAUUUCCGGUGUAGCGGUGAAAUGCGUAGAUAUCGGAAGGAACACCAGUGGCGAAAGCGGCUUCCUGGUCCAGCACCGACGUUCAGGCACGAAAGCGUGGGGAGCAAACAGG
RNAcentral lists this ribosomal RNA (253 nucleotides) under uncultured bacterium. RNAcentral's name for it is "partial 16S ribosomal RNA". It matches the Rfam family "Bacterial small subunit ribosomal RNA", at positions 524 to 776 of the family's 1533-position model. The record is from RNAcentral.